Long non-coding RNA from Solea solea (common sole), 572 nucleotides. RefSeq lists it as uncharacterized. Lineage: Eukaryota; Metazoa; Chordata; Actinopteri; Pleuronectiformes; Soleidae. The record is from RefSeq and is a predicted model, not a curated record. The transcript is spliced from 2 exons.
UCUAGACCCAUCUAUGUAAUUUAGUGGUGUUUAACAUGCUCACCACAAGGUGGCGCAUCAUUUCGAUACCCAUUGUCAUGGUCGCGGAGUGCGCUGCGUUCUCUUUGAUACGAGACGCCGAUGAAUCGAUGUAAUGACUUGAUGAAUGCAGUGAGAUUAACACAGUGAGGAUCGAGUUUUGUAUUUUCUUUUGGAUAAGAAGAACUGUUUCACCAUGCAAACCUUCUGUAUGAGCUCCGAUUAAGGAAUAGAGCAUUCUGAUUCUGAAUCCUGGGAUGUUCAGUGGCGAGCUAGGACGAUCAAUUGACUGAGAAGAGGCACGGUGUGGCCGGCCGUGGGAUCCGCUCCGGAGAACAACAGACCAUCAACUCACUUCACUCUCUGACAUAGAUAAGAACACAAAACACACACAAUCUACCUGGGUAAUUGUACUCUUCAAAUUUAAAAGAAGACACUUUUAUUUAAAUUUUAUUUAUUUAUUUUUCCCAAAAGAGCUCUUUUUUUGUAUUUUAUUUUCAUUAUUGCAAGUUCAUAAUGGUGAGGCAAUAAAUUGUCAAUUGUUCACUUCCUAA